RNAcentral lists this ribosomal RNA (406 nucleotides) under uncultured bacterium. Its description in RNAcentral is "partial 16S ribosomal RNA". It matches the Rfam family "Bacterial small subunit ribosomal RNA", at positions 30 to 526 of the family's 1533-position model. The record is from RNAcentral.
AUUGAACGCUGGCGGCAGGCCUAACACAUGCAAGUCGAACGAGUGGCGGACGGGUGAGUAAUGUCUGGGAAACUGCCCGAUGGAGGGGGAUAACUACUGGAAACGGUAGCUAAUACCGCAUACCAUCGGAUGUGCCCAGAUGGGAUUAGCUAGUAAGUGGGUUAACGGCCUACCUAGGCGACGAUCCCUAGCUGGUCUGAGAGGAUGACCAGCCACACGGGAACUGAGACACGGUCCAGACUCCUACGGGAGGCAGCAGUGGGGAAUAUUGCACAAUGGGCGCAAGCCUGAUGCAGCCAUGCCGCGUGUAUGAAGAAGGCCUUCUGGUUGUAAAGUACUUUCAGCGGGGAGGCGUUACCCGCAGAAGAAGCACCGGCUAACUCCGUGCCAGCAGCCGCGGUAAUUC